GCAAGUCGAGCGGUAACAGAAAGUAGCUUGCUACUUUGCUGACGAGCGGCGGACGGGUGAGUAAUGCUUGGGAACAUGCCUUGAGGUGGGGGACAACAGUUGGAAACGACUGCUAAUACCGCAUAAUAUCUUCGGAUCAAAGUGGGGGACCUUCGGGCCUCACGCCAUAAGAGUAGCCCAAGUGGGAUUAGCUAGUUGGUAAGGUAAUAGCUUACCAAGGCAACGAUCCCUAGUUGGUCUUAGAGGAUGACC
This 252-nucleotide ribosomal RNA is filed under the name uncultured bacterium. Its description in RNAcentral is "partial 16S ribosomal RNA". It matches the Rfam family "Bacterial small subunit ribosomal RNA", at positions 57 to 305 of the family's 1533-position model. The record is from RNAcentral.